This 1343-nucleotide ribosomal RNA is filed under the name uncultured bacterium. RNAcentral describes it as "16S ribosomal RNA". It matches the Rfam family "Bacterial small subunit ribosomal RNA", at positions 28 to 1378 of the family's 1533-position model. The record is from RNAcentral.
GACGAACGCUGGCGGCGUGCUUAACACAUGCAAGUCGAACGGAAAGGCCCUGCUUUUGUGGGGUGCUCGAGUGGCGAACGGGUGAGUAACACGUGAGUAACCUGCCCUUGACUUUGGGAUAACUUCAGGAAACUGGGGCUAAUACCGGAUAGGAGCUCCUGCUGCAUGGUGGGGGUUGGAAAGUUUCGGCGGUUGGGGAUGGACUCGCGGCUUAUCAGCUUGUUGGUGGGGUAGUGGCUUACCAAGGCUUUGACGGGUAGCCGGCCUGAGAGGGUGACCGGCCACAUUGGGACUGAGAUACGGCCCAGACUCCUACGGGAGGCAGCAGUGGGGAAUAUAGCACAAUGGGCGGAAGCCUGAUGCAGCAACGCCGCGUGCGGGAUGACGGCCUUCGGGUUGUAAACCGCUUUCGCCUGUGACGAAGCGUGAGUGACGGUAAUGGGUAAAGAAGCACCGGCUAACUACGUGCCAGCAGCCGCGGUGAUACGUAGGGUGCGAGCGUUGUCCGGAUUUAUUGGGCGUAAAGGGCUCGUAGGUGGUUGAUCGCGUCGGAAGUGUAAUCUUGGGGCUUAACCCUGAGCGUGCUUUCGAUACGGGUUGACUUGAGGAAGGUAGGGGAGAAUGGAAUUCCUGGUGGAGCGGUGGAAUGCGCAGAUAUCAGGAGGAACACCAGUGGCGAAGGCGGUUCUCUGGGCCUUUCCUGACGCUGAGGAGCGAAAGCGUGGGGAGCGAACAGGCUUAGAUACCCUGGUAGUCCACGCUGUAAACGGUGGGUACUAGGUGUGGGGUCCAUUCCACGGGUUCCGUGCCGUAGCUAACGCUUUAAGUACCCCGCCUGGGGAGUACGGCCGCAAGGCUAAAACUCAAAGGAAUUGACGGGGCCCCGCACAAGCGGCGGAGCAUGCGGAUUAAUUCGAUGCAACGCGUAGAACCUUACCUGGGUUUGACAUGGAUCGGGAGUGCUCAGAGAUGGGUGUGCCUCUUUUGGGGUCGGUUCACAGGUGGUGCAUGGCUGUCGUCAGCUCGUGUCGUGAGAUGUUGGGUUAAGUCCCGCAACGAGCGCAACCCUUGUUCACUGUUGCCAGCACGUUAUGGUGGGGACUCAGUGGAGACCGCCGGGGUCAACUCGGAGGAAGGUGGGGAUGACGUCAAGUCAUCAUGCCCCUUAUGUCCAGGGCUUCACGCAUGCUACAAUGGCUGGUACAGAGAGUGGCGAGCCUGUGAGGGUGAGCGAAUCUCGGAAAGCCGGUCUCAGUUCGGAUUGGGGUCUGCAACUCGACCUCAUGAAGUCGGAGUCGCUAGUAAUCGCAGAUCAGCAACGCUGCGGUGAAUACGUUCCCGGG